RNAcentral lists this ribosomal RNA (840 nucleotides) under Triticum aestivum (bread wheat). RNAcentral's name for it is "partial small subunit ribosomal RNA". The record is from RNAcentral. Lineage: Eukaryota; Viridiplantae; Streptophyta; Magnoliopsida; Poales; Poaceae.
AUGGCGACGCCGACCGUAGAGAAGCCCGACGGGGUGGAGAUCCGCGAGGUGUGGGCGGAGAACCUCGAGGCCGAGUUCGCCGUGAUCCGGGAGAUCGUCGACGACUACCCCUACGUCGCCAUGGACACCGAGUUCCCCGGCGUCGUCUGCCGCCCGCUCGGCACCUUCAAGUCCAACGCCGACUUCAACUACGCCACGCUCAAGGCCAACGUCGACAUGCUCAAGCUCAUCCAGCUCGGCCUCACCUUCUCCGACGAGCGCGGCGGCCUCCCCGCCCUCGGCCCGGACGGCCGCCCCUGCGUCUGGCAGUUCAACUUCCGGGGCUUCGACCCGCGCACCGACGUCGCCGCCGCGGACUCCAUCGACCUGCUGCGCCGCAGCGGGAUCGACUUCGCCCGCCACGCCACCGAGGGGGCCGACUCGCGCCGCUUCGCCGAGCUGCUCAUGUCCUCCGGCGUCGUCCUCAACGCCGAGAUCCACUGGGUCACCUUCCACAGCGGCUACGACUUCGGCUACUUGCUCAAGCUGCUCACCGGCUCCAACCUGCCGGACACCAGCUCCGGAUUCUUCGACCUCAUCAGGAUUUACUUCCCCGUGAUCUACGACAUCAAACACUUGAUGAGAUUCUGCAAUAGCCUCCACGGCGGGCUGAACAAGCUCGCUGAGCUGCUCGACGUCGAGCGGGUCGGGAUCUGCCAUCAGGCAGGCUCCGAUUCUCUGCUCACCGCGCUCUCCUUCAACAAGCUCAAGGAGUCGUACUUCGGCGGAUUAACUGAGAAAUAUGCUGGUGUGUUGUAUGGUCUAGGCACAGAGGGCGGGGAAACCACCUCUGUUCACUGA